UUCUUUAAUAAUCUUUCACCUUAUACUCCAUUGAUUCACAAAUAAAGCAUUCGCUAUACAUUCUUGAAUUGGGACAAUUAGAAGAGAUAUAUCUCUUUUGCCCACAAACUUUCUCUUUAUCUCAUUUCCCUUUUAUCGUAUAGGUGAUAAAAGUUAUCUUUUGCCCUUUUCGUUAUCCUAACUAUCAUAAACGCUUCUACUGAGUCACUUAAUCCUCUAUACCCUAGCAAUAGGAUUGCCUUAAAGUCUUUGGCGUUCGACGUUCGAUUAUCUGGUUGAUCUUCCGCGGCUGGUUUUCGUUUUCGUCUCGGUGACAUAAUUGUAAAUUAUUCUUCAUUUUCUUACAUUUUAAGCCUCAUCGUAUACGUUCGACAUAUAACACAAAAUUUUCUACUCAAAUAAUCAUGUAUUCCAAAAUAUUAAAUUUUGAAUCUUGGUUUACUAUAUUAACCAAUAUUAAGAUAAAUGUCUGCUAUCUUUAUAACAACUUACUUCAUUAAUCCAACAUAGACUCAUAUUCAUAGCACUUAACAUACCAUAACACAUAUUGCUUUAAACAUCAGCUAUCCCUUUGUGACUACGAAAGUCAGGAUUUAAAAUCUUGACCAACAUAAAAGUUGAAAAUAGUUCAUUACUUAUCACACACAUUACAUAACACAACAUAACCCAUACUACCUAUUUACUAAGCCUUCUUUCUUGGACAGCUUUUCGCCUGAUGAUCUUUCUUUCCACAAACAAAACA
This 742-nucleotide long non-coding RNA is filed under the name Panax ginseng (ginseng). Its description in RNAcentral is "long non-coding RNA (PGIN_LNC016865)". Lineage: Eukaryota; Viridiplantae; Streptophyta; Magnoliopsida; Apiales; Araliaceae. The record is from RNAcentral.